AGUGAACGCUGGCGGUAGGCCUAACACAUGCAAGUCGAACGGCAGCACCGUAAGAGCUUGCUCUUACGGGUGGCGAGUGGCGGACGGGUGAGGAAUACAUCGGAAUCUACCUUUUCGUGGGGGCUAACGUAGGGAAACUUACGCUAAUACGGCAUACGACCUACGGGUGAAAGCAGGGGAUCUUCGGACCUUGCGCGAUUGCAUGAGCCGAUGUCGGAUUAGCUAGUUGGCGGGGUAAAGGCCCACCAAGGCGACGAUCCGUAGCUGGUCUGAGAGCAUGAUCAGCCACACUGGAACUGAGACACGGUCCAGACUCCUACGGGAGGCAGCAGUGGGGAAGGUUGGACGAUGGGCGGAAGCCUGAUCCAGCCAUACCGCGUGGGUGAAGAAGGCCUUCGGGUUGUAAAGCCCUUUUGUUGGGAAAGAAAAGCAGCAGGUUAAUACCCCGCUGUUCUGACGGUACUCAAAGAAUAAGCACCGGCUAACUUCGUG
Molecule: ribosomal RNA, 492 nt
Filed under: uncultured bacterium
Lineage: Bacteria
Description: partial 16S ribosomal RNA
Rfam family: Bacterial small subunit ribosomal RNA
Source: RNAcentral